AUUGAACGCUGGCGGCAGGCCUAACACAUGCAAGUCGAGCGGAUGAAGGGAGCUUGCUCCUGGAUUCAGCGGCGGACGGGUGAGUAAUGCCUAGGAAUCUGCCUUGUAGUGGGGGAUAACGUCCGGAAACGGGCGCUAAUACCGCAUACGUCCUGAGGGAGAAAGUGGGGGAUCGUCGGACCUCACGCUAUCAGAUGAGCCUAGGUCGGAUUAGCUAGUUGGUGGGGUAAAGGCCUACCAAGGCGACGAUCCGUAACUGGUCUGAGAGGAUGAUCAGUCACACUGGAACUGAGACACGGUCCAGACUCCUACGGGAGGCAGCAGUGGGGAAUAUUGGACAAUGGGCGAAAGCCUGAUCCAGCCAUGCCGCGUGUGUGAAGAAGGUCCUCGGAUUGUAAAGCACUUUAAGUUGGGAGGAAGGGCAGUAAGUUAAUACCUUGCUGUUUUGACGUUACCAACAGAAUAAGCACCGGCUAACUUCGUG
Molecule: ribosomal RNA, 484 nt
Filed under: uncultured bacterium
Lineage: Bacteria
Description: partial 16S ribosomal RNA
Rfam family: Bacterial small subunit ribosomal RNA
Source: RNAcentral